AACAUCUCAAAUCUCUCUUCGCUUUGCGUCGAGAGAAUUGGAUUUGAGCGAUCCCGACUCCUUCAUCAGAAAGAGGAGGGUCGCUUGAAAUGCAGGUGCAGCUGGACAUUCUUCUGAGCUAAAAGCAUAUCUAUUUAGUCCCGUCAAACGGAUUAUUACUUUUGCUUCAGCUAAUAUAAAGGUUGAAUGAACUACCAACGCUGAUUGCAGGAAAACUUGUUCGUUUAUUCGAACUUGUAA
Molecule: unclassified non-coding RNA, 240 nt
Filed under: Mortierella turficola
Lineage: Eukaryota; Fungi; Mortierellomycota; Mortierellomycetes; Mortierellales; Mortierellaceae
Description: partial internal transcribed spacer 2
Source: RNAcentral